Molecule: long non-coding RNA, 371 nt
Filed under: Manihot esculenta (cassava)
Lineage: Eukaryota; Viridiplantae; Streptophyta; Magnoliopsida; Malpighiales; Euphorbiaceae
Description: long non-coding RNA (MESC_LNC001454)
Source: RNAcentral
UGAACAUAAGUUGUUUAUCUUUUGGUUAUUCAAUAUUUAUACAAUUUCAUGCUUGAUUCCAUUAUUGCUUUGUUAUUAUGGUCAAUGUGGCCACUUGAUUUUUGAUUGCAAGGUAAUAUAUUGUUAGUUUGAAUAAUUUUGAGUCCGUAAUUGCUUGGAUUGUUCAAACACAAGAACACUUGGUGUAAAAACUAAGAAAAUUGUAUGAUCUAGCAACAUCUCCAUGUGUUUGGGUAGUUAGGAUUGGAUCUCUCUAUUUCUUAAUGCAAUUGACAGUUGUUUUGAUGCCUAAGGCCCAAGGACGUUCCUUGGCAACUUGUUGAUUAGUAAUUAAUUAGAGGACGUUCCCUAAUUGGUUUGUGAUUAAGGAG